UACGUAGGGUGCAAGCGUUGUCCGGAAUUAUUGGGCGUAAAGAGCUCGUAGGCGGUUUGUCGCGUCGAAUGUGAAAACCCGGGGCUCAGCCCCGGGCCUGCAUUCGAUACGGGCAGACUAGAGUUCGGUAGGGGAGUCUGGAAUUCCUGGUGUAGCGGUGAAAUGCGCAGAUAUCAGGAGGAACACCGGUGGCGAAGGCGGGACUCUGGGCCGAUACUGACGCGGAGGAGCGAAAGCGUGGGGAGCAAACAGG
Molecule: ribosomal RNA, 253 nt
Filed under: uncultured bacterium
Lineage: Bacteria
Description: partial 16S ribosomal RNA
Rfam family: Bacterial small subunit ribosomal RNA
Source: RNAcentral